AACGCGAAGAACCUUACCUGGGUUUGACAUGGCCGCAAAACCUGCAGAGAUGUGGGGUCCUUCGGGGGCGGUCACAGGUGGUGCAUGGCUGUCGUCAGCUCGUGUCGUGAGAUGUUGGGUUAAGUCCCGCAACGAGCGCAACCCUUGUCCUAUGUUGCCAGCAAGCCCUUCGGGGUGUUGGGGACUCAUAGGAGACUGCCGGGGUCAACUCGGAGGAAGGUGGGGAUGACGUCAAGUCAUCAUGCCCCUUAUGUCCAGGGCUUCACGCAUGCUACAAUGGCCGGUACAAAGGGCUGCGAUGCUGUAAGGCGGAGCGAAUCCCAAAAAGCCGGUCUCAGUUCGGAUUGGGGUCUGCAACUCGACCCCAUGAAGUCGGAGUCGCUAGUAAUCGUGGAUCAGCAUGCCACGGUGAAUACGUUCCCGGGCCUUGUACACACCG
This 439-nucleotide ribosomal RNA is filed under the name uncultured bacterium. RNAcentral describes it as "bacterial SSU rRNA". It matches the Rfam family "Bacterial small subunit ribosomal RNA", at positions 958 to 1392 of the family's 1533-position model. The record is from RNAcentral.